AGAGAAACAGAUUCCGACACUAUAUCUCGUGUAUUACGAUAUUUCUCCAUUCUCGACAGUUAAAUUUUAAGCCUCGCGCUUUAAAUAAUAAAAGUUAACUGUCUCGAGUGGAGAAAUAUCGUAAUACACUUGUUGAAGUGUAGGAAUCUAUAUGUCU
Molecule: small RNA, 157 nt
Filed under: Mytilus galloprovincialis (Mediterranean mussel)
Lineage: Eukaryota; Metazoa; Mollusca; Bivalvia; Mytilida; Mytilidae
Source: RNAcentral